GAUGAAGAACGUAGCGAAAUGCGAUAAGUAGUGUGAAUUGCAGAAUUCAGUGAAUCAUCGAAUCUUUGAACGCACAUUGCGCCUUCUAGUAUUCUGGGAGGCAUGCCUGUUUGAGUGUCAUUAAACCUCUCUCAAGUAUGAUUACUUGGAUGUGAAGGAAGAGUACCUUAAACUUAAGGAGUGUUCUCCUUUGAAAUUGAUUAGCAGAUGGUAAUGUUAUUAAAUCCCUGAUGUUGUAAGAAAUAACAGUGGUUUUGUAGACUAUUAUCUAGCUUUAAAUUAUAAUUUUUAUUAUGGUUGACCUCAAAUCAGGUAAGGAUACCCGCUGAACUUAAGCAUAUCAAUAAGCGGAGGA
Molecule: unclassified non-coding RNA, 355 nt
Filed under: soil metagenome
Description: partial contains 5.8S ribosomal RNA, internal transcribed spacer 2, and large subunit ribosomal RNA
Rfam family: 5.8S ribosomal RNA (bases 1-120)
Source: RNAcentral